UAUAGCAAAUGCAGCAUAUGGCAUUAAUUUUUCACAUGUAAAUAACACUUUUCAGUGGUGCUCACAGCAUGCCGUUCCAUGAGCGCAGCAUUUAUUUUUCAACUCGACUCAAUGAGCCCAAUCAGUCGUCCAUGACAACAAAAUCAUAAACAACAGAGUAGGGCUGGCUAAUAGGUCCUUCGUUUUAGGGUUUUGCUCAGGGAAAACAAUAUUAUUGAAGAUUGGAAUGACUGGAAUUCUGAAAGACUUUGGUUUUUAAUGUAAAGAUAUGAUUUAAUCGUAAUAUUAUAUGUAGUCGAAAGUGAUGGGUUAGAGGAAGCUUACAUAACCAACCCAUAAAGUAAAAUGUAACAUCCAUAUAUGGCCAGCUAUGUAAAGUUUAACAUUGAUUUAUCCUGCAAUAGAUGUCGUUCAAUUGGAAACAUACAUGUUUGUCUUCUUAUAAUGCCUCUUAAGGGGAAAGUAAUGUAAAAGUAAAUGAAUGGAAACGGUUUGCAUUACUGAGUUUGGGUAAUCCAAAAGUUACAUUACUGAUUACAAUGUGGACAAGUAACUCGUAACUGUAACCGAUUACAUUUAGAAAGUAACCUCCCCAAACCUGGUUGUGUGUAGUGGCUUUGCUGCCAUGCAAAGAAGAAGAAAACAAGGAGAACACCGCCUUGUAAAACGAAGGGAUCUUGACAUGGGCCAAUCAGAGUCGUCUCUUGAUCAUGUGACGUUAGGAAUAUAAACAGUGAGUGACAUCAUCUGUUUACUUCAAGCUUUUGCACGGCUGAUAGACUUCAUUCGAGUACUGUACUAGUAAUAUUUGCCUCUCCUAAAAUUAUGGCAACAGACAUCGAAAGAUUUGCUUUUUUCGAAGAAGCACACUACGACCAAUACGAUUACUACAAUUUAGCCGAAUAUUCAUGUCACGCUGGUGGAAAAGGUAGAACCAAGAGAGAAAUCGGAUUGAACACCAAUCGCCAUAUCCCUGCUGGACACGAGAGAAAAAUUGCUGAAAAAUAUCAAAACAGUGAACUCAAACGCAGGAGAACCAAAAGUUUAACAUCUUGAUGGACUCUGUGUCAGAUCUCAAACCUAGUUGAAGAUUGAACUGGAACAUGGUCCAAAUUUGUAUUUUUGCCUUUCCUGACCCUAAUGACCCAACGAAAGGAGUUGACUGGGACUGGCCUGCCAGGAAACAAACCUUGGCAGUUAGUGUAGAGUGCACUCCUUUUCCACAUGUUGCACCCCUGUUACUGGACCUAGCGGCUCUUCAGUUACAGCAGUGUGCGAGAAUAAAAUGGUUUUAAAUGGUUGAAGACAUCUCUAGGACUAUUAUGCUGUUAUGAUACUGUUUGGUUUUAAAGUGUAAAAAGUACUGUGUUGUGAAUAAAGAGAUGACGAUUUAAAAGAG
This is a long non-coding RNA of Oncorhynchus keta (chum salmon), 1399 nucleotides long. RefSeq lists it as uncharacterized. NCBI's taxonomy places the organism in Eukaryota, Metazoa, Chordata, Actinopteri, Salmoniformes, Salmonidae. The transcript has 2 exons. The record is from RefSeq and is a predicted model, not a curated record.